UUUUUAAUUUUAUAUUUACGUAAAAUUGAUAUCAAUUCAAUUAUCAUAUUUAUAUUAUUAAAAUGCGAUUUUAUUAAAAAAGAAACGUAAGAAACCCUUGAAAGCACAGACGAGCAAACUAAGGUCGGACCUAGUUAAAACCCCUUUGAGGAAAACCUGCAAGAGAAAAAUCUCAAAGGGAAAAAAGACCUGUCUAACUAAGAGCAACAAACGACGCCAACUAGAAAGAGAGAACUCCGCCGUACUCCGGCCGGACCAUUGCACGAGCAGAGUAAACUCAAAGCGUGAUGCAGCUUCUAGAGCUCCGGCCAGACCAUCGCUCUGGAAACUUUCCAGCGAAACAGAACCAAAUAAAAAUAAAAACAAAAAAGAAAGCAGUGCAGGG
RNAcentral lists this long non-coding RNA (385 nucleotides) under Salvia miltiorrhiza (redroot sage). RNAcentral's name for it is "long non-coding RNA (SMIL_LNC001309)". Lineage: Eukaryota; Viridiplantae; Streptophyta; Magnoliopsida; Lamiales; Lamiaceae. The record is from RNAcentral.